GAUGAACGCUGGCGGCGUGCCUAAUACAUGCAAGUCGAGCGAACAGAUAAGGAGCUUGCUCCUUUGACGUUAGCGGCGGACGGGUGAGUAACACGUGGGUAACCUACCUAUAAGACUGGAAUAACUCCGGGAAACCGGGGCUAAUGCCGGAUAACAUUUAGAACCGCAUGGUUCUAAAGUGAAAGAUGGUUUUGCUAUCACUUAUAGAUGGACCCGCGCCGUAUUAGCUAGUUGGUAAGGUAACGGCUUACCAAGGCAACGAUACUAAGCCGACCUGAGAGGUGGUUCGCCCAACCUGGAACGGAGCCACGCUCCAGCCUCCUACGGGGGGCAGCGUAGGGGAUUCUUCCCCAGAGGGCGAAGGCCGGACGGGCCAACGCCGCGUGAGUGAGGAGGUUUUUCGGAUCGUAAAACUCUUUUAUUAGGAAAAAAGAAAUGUGUAAGUAACUGUGCACGUCUUGACGGUACCUAAUCAGAAAGCCACGGCUAACUACGUG
This 497-nucleotide ribosomal RNA is filed under the name uncultured bacterium. Its description in RNAcentral is "partial 16S ribosomal RNA". It matches the Rfam family "Bacterial small subunit ribosomal RNA", at positions 28 to 507 of the family's 1533-position model. The record is from RNAcentral.